This 254-nucleotide ribosomal RNA is filed under the name uncultured bacterium. RNAcentral's name for it is "partial 16S ribosomal RNA". It matches the Rfam family "Bacterial small subunit ribosomal RNA", at positions 524 to 776 of the family's 1533-position model. The record is from RNAcentral.
CACGUAGGGGGCGAGCGUUGUCCGGAUUUAUUGGGCGUAAAGAGCUCGUAGGCGGUUCGGCAAGUCGGGUGUGAAAUUUCGAGGCUCAACCUCGAAACGCCACUCGAUACUGCUGUGACUGGAGUCCGGUAGAGGAGUGCGGAAUUCCUGGUGUAGCGGUGAAAUGCGCAGAUAUCAGGAGGAACGCCAACGGCGAAGGCAGCACUCUGGGCCGGUACUGACGCUGAGGAGCGAAAGCUAGGGGAGCAAACGGG